UGGGGAAUAUUGGACAAUGGGCGCAAGCCUGAUCCAGCCAUGCCGCGUGAGUGAUGAAGGCCCUAGGGUUGUAAAGCUCUUUCACCGGUGAAGAUAAUGACGGUAACCGGAGAAGAAGCCCCGGCUAACUUCGUGCCAGCAGCCGCGGUAAUACGAAGGGGGCUAGCGUUGUUCGGAUUUACUGGGCGUAAAGCGCACGUAGGCGGACUUUUAAGUCAGGGGGUGAAAUCCCGGGGGCUCAACCCCCGGAACUGCCUUUGAUACUGGAAGUCUUGAGUAUGGUAGAGGUGAGUGGAAUUCCGAGUGUAGAGGUGAAAUUCGUAGAUAUUCGGAGGAACACCAGUGGCGAAAGGCGGCUCACUGGACCAUUACUGACGCUGAGGUGCGAAAGCGUGGGGGAGCAAACAGGAUUAGAUACCCCUGGUAGUCCACGCCGUAAACGAUGAAUGUUAGCCGUUGGGGGAGUUUUAACUCUUCGGUGGCGCAGCUAACGCAUUAAAC
This 501-nucleotide ribosomal RNA is filed under the name uncultured bacterium. RNAcentral describes it as "partial 16S ribosomal RNA". It matches the Rfam family "Bacterial small subunit ribosomal RNA", at positions 355 to 865 of the family's 1533-position model. The record is from RNAcentral.